This 468-nucleotide ribosomal RNA is filed under the name uncultured bacterium. Its description in RNAcentral is "partial 16S ribosomal RNA". It matches the Rfam family "Bacterial small subunit ribosomal RNA", at positions 28 to 507 of the family's 1533-position model. The record is from RNAcentral.
GACGAACGCUGGCGGCGUGCUUAACACAUGCAAGUCGAACGGAAAGGCCCUGCUUUUGUGGGGUGCUCGAGUGGCGAACGGGUGAGUAACACGUGAGUAACCUGCCCUUGACUUUGGGAUAACUUCAGGAAACCGGGGCUAAUACCGUAUAGGAGCUCCUGCUGCAUGGUGGGGGUUGGAAAGUUUCGGCGGGUGGGGAUGGACUCGCGGCUUAUCAGCUUGUUGGUGGGGUAGUGGUUUACCAAGCCUUUGACGGGUAGCCGGCAUGAGAGGGUGACCGGCCACCUUGGGACUGAGAGACGGCCCAGACUCCUACGGGAGGCAGCAGUGGGGAAUAUUGCACAAUGGGAGGAAGCCUGAUGAGGCAACGUCGCGUGCGUGAUGACGGCCUUCGGGUUGUAAACAGCUUUCGCCUGUGACGAAGCGUGAGUGACGGUAAUGGGUAAAGAAGCACCGGCUAACUACGUG